RNAcentral lists this ribosomal RNA (433 nucleotides) under uncultured bacterium. RNAcentral's name for it is "partial 16S ribosomal RNA". It matches the Rfam family "Bacterial small subunit ribosomal RNA", at positions 29 to 507 of the family's 1533-position model. The record is from RNAcentral.
AACGAACGCUGGCGGCAUGCCUAACACAUGCAAGUCGAACGAGACCUUCGGGUCUAGUGGCGCACGGGUGCGUAACGCGUGGGAACCUGCCCUUAGGUUCGGAAUAACUCCCCGAAAGGGGUGCUAAUACCGGAUAAUGUCUUCGGACCAAAUAUUUAUCGCCUUUGGAUGGGCCCGCGUUGGAUUAGCUAGUUGGUAGGGUAAAAGCCUACCAAGGCGACGAUCCAUAGCUGGCCUGAGAGGAUGAUCAGCCACACUGGGACUGAGACACGGCCCAGACUCCUACGGGAGGUAGCAGUGGGGAAUAUUGGACAAUGGGCGAAAGCCUGAUCCAGCAAUGCCGCGUGAGUGAUGAAGGCCUUAGGGUUGUAAAGCUCUUUUACCCGGGAUGAUAAUGACAGUACCGGGAGAAUAAGCUCCGGCUAACUCCGUG